UACUUUUUUAAGGGGGGGGGUACACAAGUUAUAAUCAUGAUUUCUAUGUUUGCCACAAGAGGAGUCAGUGGAACAUCUAUGUGUUUUAUAAUCACUUAUGGAUUAGAGAGCUUAUUUCUUUAUCUCAAAAGUACAGAACUGAUAAAGAGAAUGAAGGGUUUCUUUUAUGAAAUGGGUAAACUUUGGUCCACACUCCAACAAUGAAGGUGGUGAUAAUGCACCUUAACGCUGGUGCUACCCACCAUAAAACAGAAGAAGAAGAAUCAAACAUCACUAUUCAAGAAUCAGCUACGGGAAAUAGGAGGACUGGACUGGAAGGACGAAUUUAAUUAAGAUAUAGUAAGUUAAAGUAAGAC
Molecule: long non-coding RNA, 356 nt
Organism: Sinocyclocheilus rhinocerous
Lineage: Eukaryota; Metazoa; Chordata; Actinopteri; Cypriniformes; Cyprinidae
Exons: 3
Source: RefSeq, a predicted model, not a curated record